Long non-coding RNA from Poecilia latipinna (sailfin molly), 292 nucleotides. RefSeq lists it as uncharacterized. The record is from RefSeq and is a predicted model, not a curated record. NCBI's taxonomy places the organism in Eukaryota, Metazoa, Chordata, Actinopteri, Cyprinodontiformes, Poeciliidae. The transcript is spliced from 3 exons.
CCCGGGGAGCUGUGAGCGAGCCGGGGACAUUGAGACAGAUGAAGGGUCAGAAAUGUGUGCUGAGAAGCGUCUCCUCUGGGUCUCCUUCACCCGCGUGCGCUCGACCCGCGCCAGCCUUUCAUUCUAAUCUGAUGAUAAUGAUAUUUGCUCAGGACGACCUCUGCUUGCACAGUUUUCUACAUUGGCGGCUGUCACUGUUGAGCUCGGCCUUCAGCACAUCGUCAAAGAUGGCGUUCAGCAGGAUCAUCUUAUUUAGAUAUUGUUAGCUUCCUUUCUGUGUGGCCACCUGUUU